This is a long non-coding RNA of Lycium ferocissimum, 207 nucleotides long. RefSeq lists it as uncharacterized. The record is from RefSeq and is a predicted model, not a curated record. Lineage: Eukaryota; Viridiplantae; Streptophyta; Magnoliopsida; Solanales; Solanaceae. The transcript has 2 exons.
CUUUUUUUCCGGCGACAACUGCCCUAUUUCCGGCCACCUCUGUUUUUUUUUUUUCCCUUCUUCUAUUCUCUUCUUCUUUUUCUGUUUUUCUCUGUUCAAAUUCAAUGGACUUUUAGUAUUGCACUAUUGCUUAAAUUUUAGUGUUGCUUGUCUUGUCACUUAUGAAUUAUUGAGUCAUUGACUCAUUCAAGUUCUAGACUUUUAGUA